Molecule: long non-coding RNA, 212 nt
Filed under: Elaeis guineensis (African oil palm)
Lineage: Eukaryota; Viridiplantae; Streptophyta; Magnoliopsida; Arecales; Arecaceae
Description: long non-coding RNA (EGUI_LNC022574)
Source: RNAcentral
GCUAAAUGUGUGUUUUGCAAACGAUAAACAGAUAUGUCGUACAUAUGCAAACCGAAACCAUGUAUUUUGGAAAGAUUACAAAGUUUACAAACUAUCUCCUCAAAUAUGAUGCUUAGAGCUAGUACUAGUGGCUAAUGGAAAGCCUUUAAUGCUGAUAGAAAUAAUUUAUUUAACAGUGUUUAUAAAACUGUAAUUAUUCUUUUGGAAAGGCC